CAGUCGCCGCGGGAAUACGAAGGGGGCUAGCGUUGUUCGGAAUUACUGGGCGUAAAGCGCACGCAGGCGGCUCGAUAAAUUAGAAGUGAAAGCCUUGGGCUUAACCUGAGAAUUGCUUUUAAGACUGUCGAGCUAGAAUCCAGAAGAGGGUAGUGGAAUUCCGAGUGUAGAGGUGAAAUUCGUAGAUAUUCGGAAGAACACCAGUGGCGAAGGCGACUACCUGGUCUGGCAUUGACGCUCAUGUGCGAAAGCGUGGGGAGCAAACAGGAUUAGAUACCCCCGUAGUCCCUGUCUCUUAUAC
Molecule: ribosomal RNA, 301 nt
Filed under: uncultured bacterium
Lineage: Bacteria
Description: partial 16S ribosomal RNA
Rfam family: Bacterial small subunit ribosomal RNA
Source: RNAcentral